GAGUUUGAUCGUGGCUCAGAAUCAACGCUGGCGGCGUGCCUAACACAUGCAAGUCGAACGCGGUUGCCCCGCAAGGGGUAACUGAGUGGCGAACGGGUGAGUAACACGUGGGUGACCUACCCUCGAGUGGGGGAUAACAUCCCGAAAGGGGUGCUAAUACCGCAUGACAUCCUGUCUUUGAACAGAUGGACAUUAAAGCUGGGGAUCGCAAGACCUGGCGCUCGUGGAGGGGCCCGCGCCCGAUUAGCUAGUUGGUGAGGUAACGGCUCACCAAGGCGACGAUCGGUAUCCGGCCUGAGAGGGCGGACGGACACACUGGGACUGAGACACGGCCCAGACUCCUACGGGAGGCAGCAGUGGGAAUUGUUCGCAAUGGGCGCAAGCCUGACGACGCAACGCCGCGUGGAGGAUGAAGAUCUUCGGGUCGUAAACUCCUUUCGAUCGGGACGAAUGGCUGGUGGGCGAAGUACUCCAUCAGAAUGACGGUACCGAGAGAAGAAGCCCCGGCUAACUCCGUGCCAGCAGCCGC
RNAcentral lists this ribosomal RNA (529 nucleotides) under uncultured bacterium. Its description in RNAcentral is "bacterial SSU rRNA". It matches the Rfam family "Bacterial small subunit ribosomal RNA", at positions 9 to 518 of the family's 1533-position model. The record is from RNAcentral.